UACAGAGGUCUCAAGCGUUGUUCGGAUUCAUUGGGCGUAAAGGGUGCGUAGGUGGCGCUGUAAGUCGGGUGUGAAAUUUCGGAGCUUAACUCCGAAACUGCAUUCGAUACUGCGGUGCUUGAGGACUGGAGAGGAGACUGGAAUUAUGGUGUAGCAGUGAAAUGCGUAGAGAUCAAUAGGAACACCAGUGGCGAAGGCGAGUCCCUGGACAACACCUGACACUGAGGCACGAAAGCUAGGGGAGCAAACAGG
RNAcentral lists this ribosomal RNA (252 nucleotides) under uncultured bacterium. Its description in RNAcentral is "partial 16S ribosomal RNA". It matches the Rfam family "Bacterial small subunit ribosomal RNA", at positions 524 to 776 of the family's 1533-position model. The record is from RNAcentral.